CACUCCUGCGGGAGGCAGCAGUGGGGAAUAUUGGACAAUGGGCGCAAGCCUGAUCCAGCCAUGCCGCGUGAGUGAUGAAGGCCCUAGGGUUGUAAAGCUCUUUCACCGGUGAAGAUAAUGACGGUAACCGGAGAAGAAGCCCCGGCUAACUUCGUGCCAGCAGCCGCGGUAAUACGAAGGGGGCUAGCGUUGUUCGGAUUUACUGGGCGUAAAGCGCACGUAGGCGGACUAUUAAGUCAGGGGUGAAAUCCCGGGGCUCAACCCCGGAACUGCCUUUGAUACUGGUAGUCUUGAGUUCGAGAGAGGUGAGUGGAAUUCCGAGUGUAGAGGUGAAAUUCGUAGAUAUUCGGAGGAACACCAGUGGCGAAGGCGGCUCACUGGCUCGAUACUGACGCUGAGGUGCGAAAGCGUGGGGAGCAAACAGGAUUAGAUACCCCGGUAGUCCCAUGA
Molecule: ribosomal RNA, 450 nt
Filed under: uncultured organism
Description: partial 16S ribosomal RNA
Rfam family: Bacterial small subunit ribosomal RNA
Source: RNAcentral